AACGCACGAGACCUGCGGACCUGCGGAGGGAUCAUUAACGCAUCUCCGGCGGCGAGGGAGUGCCCAGCUCCGGUCCCGAAAGGGGCCGUGCAGCGGGCUCGCCCGGACCGCCAAACCUUUGCAAACCCACUGUGCACUUUUGUCGGCAGAGGGCUUUGCAGCCCCGAGCCGGAUCGCAAACUCUUGUUAAACGAAUGCAUGCGGACGUCGAGCCGCCUAAUCUUUAACAACUUUCAACAA
Molecule: unclassified non-coding RNA, 240 nt
Filed under: soil metagenome
Description: partial contains 5.8S ribosomal RNA, internal transcribed spacer 2, and large subunit ribosomal RNA
Source: RNAcentral